GGCGGACGGGUGAGUAAUACAUGGGUAAUCUCCCCUCGUGCUCGGGAUAACACCGCGAAAGUGGUGCUAAUACCGGAUAAGACCACGUCACCCAGGUGAUGCGGGAAAAGGUGGCUUUUUCUUCGGAUGAGGCUAUCACAUGAGGAUGAGUCCAUGGCCUAUCAGCUUGUUGGUGAGGUAACGGCUCACCAAGGCGAUGACGGGUAGCUGGUCUGAGAGGACGACCAGCCACACUGGGACUGAGACACGGCCCAGACUCCUACGGGAGGCAGCAGUGGGGAAUAUUGGGCAAUGGGCGAAAGCCUGACCCAGCGACGCCGUGUGGGCGAUGAAGGCCUUCGGGUUGUAAAGCCCUGUUGGGUGGAAAGAAGGGCUCAUGGACGAAUAAUCCGUGAGCUUUGACGGUACCACCAGAGGAAGCACCGGCUAACUCCGUGCCAGCAGCCGCGGUAAUACGGAGGGUGCAAGCGUUGUUCGGAAUUACUGGGCGUAAAGGGCGCGUAGGUGGUUGUGUAAGUCAGAUGUGAAAUCCCGAGGCUCAACCUCGGAACUGCAUCUGAUACUGCAUGACUCGAGUGCA
RNAcentral lists this ribosomal RNA (580 nucleotides) under uncultured Pseudomonadota bacterium. RNAcentral's name for it is "bacterial SSU rRNA". It matches the Rfam family "Bacterial small subunit ribosomal RNA", at positions 97 to 650 of the family's 1533-position model. The record is from RNAcentral. Lineage: Bacteria; Pseudomonadati; Pseudomonadota.